GAAGUCAGGAAGCCAAAAAGCCUGUUUCUGGAAUUAAUUACUGUACUGGUUGUAAAGAUUAAUAAAAAUAAAAUGAUUUGGAAAACAAUAUGGACUGAGUAUGACACAUGUGUGGGGAAAUGGAGAAGGUAAUGAGAAAAUCAACCUAAAUUUGUUGUAGGACUCCAAGAUAAAAAUCUAGCCCAUCUACUAUUUUUCUCUUUUAUUCCUUUCUUCUAGGCCACACUUUCUCUUUUUCCAGUAUGCUCCUGAGUUCAUCUUUCUUUUAAAGCAGUGCUGACCAAGUUGAGGUAUUACACAUAAUCAAUUGGCAUGUGGUUUGCACAUUUUUUUUUUGCACUGGAAGAAUGUGGACAUGAAUUCCUGACUAUCUCAGUGUGUAAAAUCCUCAACAUAUAAACCUACGUAAAGUGCAAUCAUCAAAUCACAGGUGUACUGCAUUGCUGCAGGAGCUGUAUAUAUGGACGUGAAGCACAUAUUAGUGCCAGGGGCAGUCAAGUACAAAGAGCACUAUAACACAGAGAGUACUCAGUGCUAUAAUAGAACAAAGAGCAAAGUCAUCCAGGAACAACACAUGAUAAGAAACUGAGGCAAAGCAAGUUUUAAUAAUUUUCCAGAGAUAUGAUAUAUGAAUAUAACCACAGCUUCAAACCUUGGCCAUUGGAUGGCUCUUCACCACUGUGACCAUCUCUACCAUGGACAGAACAGUCCUGGACUUUAAUAUUACACAGAGGAAAGUGGACAAUGAUAGAGACUUUUCUAUUCAAGUUUAGAGAUCUGGAACACAAUAAGGAACAGGCUAAACAAACACCAGGGAAACAGUGUUCAAAGUGGAAAGAAGACCUGAUGCCAGGACCCUGAGAUGAAAUAGAUGUGGCACAUUUGAGGAAUCAGAAGAAGCCCACGAUGGCUGAAACACAAAGGCUAGAGGGAGAAAGAGUGAAUUUUGGUUGGAAGUAGGCACAGGAUUAUGAAGGACAUUAACAGUGUAAGGUGAUUAGUUUUUAUGUGUAAUGGGGACCUUUUGAGGAUUUAAAAAAAGUAAACACAUUUUGUUUAAAAGAUUAUUUUGAAGGGAAAAUCUAUUUAAGGGUGGGCAAGAGGGAAAGGAAAGAGAUAAUUUUCUCUCUCACAUAAGAAAUGAUUUUUAUUUGGGUUAGGGUGCAUUUGGAGAUUACCGAAAAGAAGAAGAAAAAAUAAGAAUAUGUUUUUGUUGACUUUGCUGAUGAAUAUUAGAGAGGAAGCAGGUGAGGAAAAAAGAGAAUCAAGUAAAAACCAGAACUUGUCAUUAUUUAAGUAAACCUAAGUAUUCCAUCAAAAGAUUUAUCCACGGGAUACAGGUGUGCUGUUUC
RNAcentral lists this long non-coding RNA (1352 nucleotides) under Felis catus (domestic cat). RNAcentral's name for it is "lncRNA (ENSFCAG00000053129.1)". The record is from RNAcentral. Lineage: Eukaryota; Metazoa; Chordata; Mammalia; Carnivora; Felidae.